This 86-nucleotide transfer RNA is filed under the name compost metagenome. Its description in RNAcentral is "tRNA-Leu". It matches the Rfam family "tRNA". Rfam says of the family: Transfer RNA (tRNA) molecules are approximately 80 nucleotides in length. Their secondary structure includes four short double-helical elements and three loops (D, anti-codon, and T loops). Further hydrogen bonds mediate the characteristic L-shaped molecular structure. tRNAs have two regions of fundamental functional importance: the anti-codon, which is responsible for specific mRNA codon recognition, and the 3' end, to which the tRNAs corresponding amino acid is attached (by aminoacyl-tRNA synthetases). tRNAs cope with the degeneracy of the genetic code in two manners: having more than one tRNA (with a specific anti-codon) for a particular amino acid; and 'wobble' base-pairing, i.e. permitting non-standard base-pairing at the 3rd anti-codon position. The record is from RNAcentral.
GCCGGGGUGGCGGAAUUGGCAGACGCACAGGACUUAAAAUCCUGCGGUAGGUGACCACCGUGCGGGUUCAAGUCCCGCUCUCGGCA